GAACGCGCCGAGGCCCCACGGCCCAGUCCCCGCGCCGCACUCCGCCAGACUCCACGGCGAGGCCGCAGAGUGCAGGCCGACCGUCCAGCGCCUGUCCACGCCAGCCCACGCCAGCCAGGCCCUCGGCAGGACCCGCACCACCAAGAGGACCUCCCUGAGGACCUCCAGGAAGGCGCCUGAGCCUUCCCUCUCUUCGCCUGGACGGCAGGUUAUGGGAGUGACCAACUUCACGAUGCUUCUCACGAUCCUCGUGAUCACCCUCCUCCUCACCAUCACCGUCUCCUACGGCGUGUCCGUCAAGCUGGGCCAUGUGCCCCUCGCCUUCCCCUACAUCAGCGAGACAGGCAACACGCAGCCUGAGAGCUGCAUCUUCAGCUUCGGCAUGAACAUCGCCUCCUUCUUGUACGCCGUGGCCGUGUACCUGCGCUACCGCGAGCUGGUCCACUUCCGCGCCAUGAGCCCCGAGAGCCGCAUCUCCGUGCCGUGGAACCGCUUCGGGCUGUGGCUGGGCUCGCUGAGCGCGCUGGGGCUGUGCGUGGUGGCCAACUUCCAGGUGGGCAAGGUGCCCGUGCCGCACUACCUGGGCGCCAUGUGCUGCUUCGUGGGCGGCUCCGCCUACUUCGCCCUGCAGACCUGGUUCUCGAAGCGCAUGUGCCCGCAAGUGAGCACCAAGCAGAUGGUGGUGCUGCGGACGGCGCUCACCGUCAUGUCCGCCGUGGCGCUGGUCGUGUGCGUGGCGUCGGCACUCGUCGCCAUCCCGCAGUUUGACGGUAACAUGCACUGGACGGACCAGGUGGACUGGCGGCCGGAGCACAAGGGCUACGCGCUGCACUGCGUGUCCACGGCGGCCGAGUGGCUCGUGGCGCUGCUCUUCGUGGGCAGCAUCGUCACCUACAUCCCUGAGAUGCGCGCCGUGUCCCUGAGCCCGCCCACCUUCAGGAUCACCGUGAUCGCGUAGCCAGGCGUGGCCAGGCCUAGGCAGUCCUUGCCUACCAGCGCGGCGGCGCCUGUCCCACUUAACGAUUUUGUUACUGGAAUCGGUAACAACGACCAAAGUAGCCGAAAAGUACUGACGACCUCAUCUCGACGCCAUGCUCAAUUAGGUGAAGCGCCUGUAUGAAAAACGACAACUCCGGGUGUAACAAGUGUAUCUGUGAUAACCAUGUUUCAUCAUAUCAAUCAAUUUAAAUUUAACUUUUUUGCAUAUUUUUUUUUGUUUGUAUAUUGUAACUUUUGUUCUAAAAUGAAACGAAUAUAUGUGAUCAUUGUGGUUU
This is an RNA transcript of Thrips palmi, 1274 nucleotides long. It is a transcript of the gene named DNA damage-regulated autophagy modulator protein 2, with no coding region annotated. The transcript has 8 exons. Lineage: Eukaryota; Metazoa; Arthropoda; Insecta; Thysanoptera; Thripidae. The record is from RefSeq and is a predicted model, not a curated record.